AUGUCAGAUCAGGGUCAGAUCAGGGCUAACAAACAGAUCCACUGUUAUUCCCAUCAUCCACAGACCAUCGUUACGGGAGCCAGACAAACAAACAGACAGACCAUAGUUACGGGAGCCAGACAAACAAACAGACAGACCAUCGUUACGGGAGCCAGACAAACAAACAGACAGACCAUCGUUACGGGAGCCAGACAAACAAACAGACAGACCAUCGUUACGGGAGCCAGACAAACAAACAGACAGACCAUGGUUAUGGGAGCCAGACAAACAAACAGAGAGACCAUGGUUAUGGGAGCCAGACAAACAAACAGACAGACAAUGGUUAUGGGAGCCAGACAAACAAAGAGACAGACCGUGGUUAUGGGAGCCAGACAAACAAACAGACAGACCAUGGUUAUGGGAGCCAGACAAACAAACAGACAGACCAUGGUUAUGGGAGCCAGACAAACAAACAGAGAGACCAUGGUUAUGGGAGCCAGACAGACCAUGGUUAUGGGAGCCAGACAGACCAUGGUUAUGGGAGCCAGACAAACAAACAGACAGACCAUGGUUAUGGGAGCCAGACAAACAAACAGACAGACCAUGGUUAUGGGAGCCAGACAAACAAACAGACAGACCAUGGUUAUGGGAGCCAGACAAACAAACAGACAGACCAUGGUUAUGGGAGCCAGACAGACCAUGGUUAUGGGAGCCAGACAGACCAUGGUUAUGGGAGCCAGACAGACAGACAUACCAUCGUUAUGGGAGCCAGACAGACCAUUGUUAUGGGAGCCAGACAGACCAUUGUUAUGGGAGCCAGACAGACCAUUGUUACGGGAGCCAGACAUACCAUCACUAUGGGAGCCAGACAGACAGACAUACCAUCGUUAUGGGAGCCAGACAGACCACCGUUAUGGGAGCCAGACAGACCAUCGUUUUGGGAGCCAGACAGACCAUCGUUUUGGGAGCCAGACAGUCAGACCAUUGUUACGGGAGCUACACAGACCAUCGUUAUGGGAGCCAGACAGACAGACCAUUGUUAUGGGAGCCAGACAGACAUACCAUUGUUACGGGAGCUACACAGACCAUCGUUAUGGGAGCCAGACAGACAGACCAUCGUUAUGGGAGCCAGACAGACAGACCAUUGUUACGGGAGCUACACAGACCAUCGUUAUGGGAGCCAGACAGACAGACCAUCGUUAUGGGAGCCAGACAGACAGUCCAUCGUUAUGGGAGACAGACAGACCAUCGUUAUGGGAGACAGACAGACCAUCGUUAUGGGAGACAGACAGACCAUCGUUAUGGAAGCCAGACAGACCAUCGUUAUGGGAGCCAGACAGACCAUCAUUAUGGGAGCCAGACAGACCAUCGUUACGGGAGCUAGACAGACAGAUGAUCAUUAUGGGAGCUUCACAGCCAGAAAGACCACCGUUAUGA
RNAcentral lists this long non-coding RNA (1416 nucleotides) under Oncorhynchus kisutch (coho salmon). RNAcentral's name for it is "lncRNA (ENSOKIG00005016654.1)". Lineage: Eukaryota; Metazoa; Chordata; Actinopteri; Salmoniformes; Salmonidae. The record is from RNAcentral.